Molecule: long non-coding RNA, 1192 nt
Filed under: Capsella rubella
Lineage: Eukaryota; Viridiplantae; Streptophyta; Magnoliopsida; Brassicales; Brassicaceae
Description: long non-coding RNA (CRUB_LNC000967)
Source: RNAcentral
CCUAUCUUUCAAAACUAAGUGUAGUUCUAUAAAACAAAACCGCAAGGUAAAUGCAUGAUUGUUAUUUGUUUUCUUUGGGAUUUUUAAUACAAUUAUGUGAUUCAAUCAUAAGGUUUUUCCAGCUAUACCUUUUUUUACAAAGUAUUUGUGAAGAAUAUUCUAUUUUUAAUAAUAUAAUAUUUAUUAUUAUUUUAAGAAUUAUUUAUGAUAAAAAAAAUCUUCAGGUUCGUUUUUAUGUAAUGAUUUUAUGAAAAUAAAAUAAUUAUCUAUAAUUAUAUUCGAUUUUGUAUUGUGAAAUAUAUACUUUUUGUUAGUAUAAUAUUAAAUUUUAGUUAGAUUACUUAAAUUGUUUUAUAUAUUUAAAAGUAUUUUUUCCAAAUUUACUCUUUAUUUUGAUUAAUGUGUGGUUGACAAAAAAAAUAAAAAAAAUAGAUGGUACUUAUUUGGUCUUCCAAGCCACAUCACAUAAGGUAAACUAAUCUUUAUGUUCUUUUCUUGUGCAAUGAAAAAUGUUGGUUCUCAAUCAAAUUAGUAAUUCUCAUUAAACUUCUAGAUUCUCUUAUAUGCUAAAACAAAAUCUUAAAACUCUAAACAUAUUAAAAAGCCGUGGAAACGUCCUAACACUUUGAAAUCUAAUAAAUUUUAUGGUUGUUAUCAGCUAGAGAUGUAAAAAGACGAUUCUCUUGAUCUUAUUGAUGAAGGUUUUCAAGAUGACUUCUUUUUCUUUGAGUACAUAAGACAUGGAAAAAUUCAACUUUUAAGUGAUUGCAAUACUAGCUACUACCCUUUUUCUCUAGGCCAUAAAUGACAUAAAAACAUAUGGUCUCAGAAGAUUAUAUUUGUGGAAUGCAGCUUUUGUCAGCUCAUCAAUGCCAUUAAGCAACUUGCUAUUGUAGAAAUGCCUUAGACGGAAACAAGAAAUAUGUGGAUGCAUUCGAUAUUGGGUCGAAAGCAUUACCACUUCUUGUCUUGCCUUCUUACAUGUGCACAAACAAGCUUCGUUGGAAAGACAGCUGCAUUCGAUAUUGGGUCGAAAGCAUUAACCUUUAUAAUAUGUAGUUUUUAUAUUUCGUAUUUUAAAAAGUUGUUAAUAUUUUCCUCAACGACGCUAUAAUGUAUAUAUAAACUUCUAUUAAAAUGACUUUAUUUGUAUUUAAAAACAUAUUUUAGAUUGAUUAUAAUUUGAAAGAAC